RNAcentral lists this ribosomal RNA (1215 nucleotides) under uncultured eukaryote. Its description in RNAcentral is "bacterial SSU rRNA". It matches the Rfam family "Eukaryotic small subunit ribosomal RNA", at positions 1 to 1350 of the family's 1831-position model. The record is from RNAcentral.
UAAUCUGGUUGAUCCUGCCAGUAUCGCAUUUCUUAGUUAAAAGAUUUAUCCAUGCAUGUGUUCGGCACUUUUUAUAGUGCCUGCGGACGGCUCAUUAAAACAGAGAUAACCUCCUCCCGAUGAAAGACGGAUAACUAUGCUAAUUGUGUGGCUAAUACGUGAGUUUAUCGCUUGUCGAUGUCCCAACUACUUUGGUAACUAACUUGAUACUUUGUUGGGUUCUUAGGCUUCGCCUAUAGGGAAUGGGUCUCUGAUCUAUCAGCUGUAGACGGUUAUGUAUCGGAUAACCGUGGCUUUGACGGAUAACGGGGAAUUAGGGUUCGGUUCCGGAGAGAAAGCAUGAGAAACGGCUUUCACAGCUAAGGUUGGCAGCAGGAGCGAAAACUUUUCAAAUAGGCAAUGCCUGAAAAGGUGACAAUCUGUAUCAACAACUGCAUUUUGUAGUUGAUUGAAAUGAGAGACAUAUAGACAGUGUUUCGAGUAGCAAGUUCAGGGCAAGUCUGGUGCCAGCAGCCGCGGUAAUACCAGCUGAGCUAGAAAUGGGUAAUAUUGUUGCAGUAAAAACGUUCGUAGUCAUCCUUUUUCUUAUGGCUAUUCUUUAUGUCUAGCCUUUUAGAGUGGUUAAUGUUGUUUAUACAUCAUUUUCUCCGCGAGUAAAAUAGAAUGAUCAACUUUGUUGGAUAUGAAAGCGCGGCAAAUCUUUAUAUGCCCUUGUUUUUGCCUAUUAAUUAGGGGAUAUACUUUGAGAUUGAGUGAGGACAUUAGUACUUAAUGGCUAGAGGUGAAAUUCAUAGAUUCAUUAAUGACUAACUACUGCGAAAGCAUCUGUCUAACUCACUUUUGGUGAUCAAGAACUAAAGUGUGGGGGUCGAAGAGGAUUAGAUACCCUCGUAGUCCACACUUUAAACUAUGCCGACUAGAGGUUGGUGUUGGUACUAUACUUCAUCAGAACCUUAGCAGAUAUAAAAGUUUUCGGGCUCUGGGGGGAGUACGGUCGCAAGGUCGAAACUUAAAGGAAUUGACGGAACGGCACCACCAGGGGUGGAGCGUGCGGCUUAAUUUGACUCAACGCGGGAAACCUUACUAGAGUAAGACAUUAGUGUGAUUGACAGGUUACUUGAUCUUUCUUGAUUUGGUGGGUGGUGGUGCAUGGCCGAUCUUAGUUGGUGGGGUGACCCGUCUGGUAAUUUCGAUAACGAACGAGACCUCAGCCUA